Molecule: long non-coding RNA, 1566 nt
Filed under: Pandoravirus neocaledonia
Description: hypothetical ncRNA
Source: RNAcentral
GACACAAGAUCCACGGUGGCCGACCAUCGCCCUUUUCAAAAAGGAAACAAUACGGAUCGCACCGGAUCAUCGGUCGAUAGUCGAAAGAAAAGCCUCCUGGCACUGACAAAGAAUACGCCGGUGUAUGCACGAGGCUCUUUUUUUCCGGAUCGUCUUUUUCUACGCUUUUUUACUAGGGCACACAGUCGGCAAAGGAAGGGAAAGAGAAAAAAAAAGACAGAUGGGUCUAGGGCGACGGCGCGCAUUCGUGCAGCCACUCGAGAAUGGCAAAGUCUCGGGGGCCGCCGGUCGCGCGGUCGGUGGCGCCGUAAUAGGCAGCAUAAAAGCCAGAUUCGUUCUGUCCGUCGAGUAAAACGUCCAAAAGGGCAAUGUUGCCGCCACGGGCGGCCUCGCAUAUGGCCGCGGUACGGUCGGUUUGGAUGUCGCGCUCGCACGCAAGCCGAACCGUGUCAUCGUGGCCGCUAGAGACGGCGUCGGCGAGGGCUUCUCGACUGCAUGCGCGUACGCCCUUGUUGCAAAGCCACUGUAGCAUCCAACUUUCACCGGCGCUGAUGGCGGCGGUCAUCGCGUCCGACCCAAAGAGUUGCGGCCACGCGCGAUAGACAAUCUCGGCGGCGUCGGUGUUGCUUGAGCGACACACCGAAUCGACGACCUGCGCCCACUGAGCCUCGGACAGCGUCGAAUCGUCCAGAAGAAGAGUCAAGGUCUUGACAAACGGCCUGAUGAUCCCCCUGAACCGACCGGCCGCGCCGACCGCCAGUUGACCGCGAAACACGGGACCUCCUAUGCCGCUGGCGAGGCAGUGCGCCAGCACAUCGUCCGAGCCGUCGCCAAGGGCUGCGCAGAUGCUGUUCACGCUCGGCGAGAUGCCGCCGACGCCACAGGCCCAUACAAAGGCGGCCACCGAAUCACCGCGGAUCGCACCCGCGACUGCGCUCUGGCAAUCCAACCAUUGGUCGCGACGCGCAUAUUCGAGGAUGUGCACAUGCCCGCCCCGCGCGGCAUCAUAAGAUGCACACUUUGCGUCAAAAGCCACGUGGCGAACGAGCACGCGCACGACGUCGAGAUGCCCGCCGAAUGACGCUGUACCGCAACACGCGCGCACGUCUCUAGGCGGCAAGGUACCCAGCGCCAGCAACAGGCACACGGCCUCGGCGUUGCCUCGACCGCCAAAGUCGGCGAGGGUGCGGCACCCGCGCCACUUGGUCGCGCGCGAUUCGAUCUCGUCUGCAGUAUCGACUCGAAAAGAGCGGUGGGCGGCUCUGGCGGCGCAAAAGUCCCUAUCGUCCAGAUGCGCCAGGACCAGCGUCAUCAUUUCGGGCGGCAGGUCGACCACGCUCGACGGUUCCAUCUUUUCGGCUUUUCUUUUGAUGUGCCCUCGUAUGUUUAUCGCGGUGCUCUCUGUUUGCCCCGUGGUCCCGUUCCGCCCUUGUCCCGGCCAAAUCGCCCCUUUUUGCGCGCCCGAGAGCGCACACCGAUUUUUCUUUGGCUCAUUGCCUGUUGGCGUUGCUCCCGUGCCUUUGUCGCGCCGUCGCAGAAAUAAAAAACCCUAUACAGGUCGCUCCC